GAUGAACGCUGGCGGCGUGCCUAAUACAUGCAAGUCGAGCGAACGGACGAGAAGCUUGCUUCUCUGAUGUUAGCGGCGGACGGGUGAGUAACACGUGGAUAACCUACCUAUAAGACUGGGAUAACUUCGGGAAACCGGAGCUAAUACCGGAUAAUAUUUUGAACCGCAUGGUUCAAAAGUUAAAGACGGUCUUGCUGUCACUUAUAGAUGGAUCCGCGCUGCAUUAGCGAGUUGGUAAGGUAACGGCUUACCAAGGCAACGAUGCAUAGCCGACCUGAGAGGGUGAUCGGCCACACUGGAACUGAGACACGGUCCAGACUCCUACGGGAGGCAGCAGUAGGGAAUCUUCCGCAAUGGGCGAAAGCCUGACGGAGCAACGCCGCGUGAGUGAUGAAGGUCUUCGGAUCGUAAAACUCUGUUAUUAGGGAAGAACAUAUGUGUAAGUAACUGUGCACAUCUUGACGGUACCUAAUCAGAAAGCCACGGCUAACUACGUG
This 497-nucleotide ribosomal RNA is filed under the name uncultured bacterium. RNAcentral's name for it is "partial 16S ribosomal RNA". It matches the Rfam family "Bacterial small subunit ribosomal RNA", at positions 28 to 507 of the family's 1533-position model. The record is from RNAcentral.